Molecule: ribosomal RNA, 443 nt
Filed under: uncultured bacterium
Lineage: Bacteria
Description: partial 16S ribosomal RNA
Rfam family: Bacterial small subunit ribosomal RNA
Source: RNAcentral
CCUACGGGUGGCAGCAGUGGGGGAUAUUGGACAAUGGGGGAAACCCUGAUCCAGCGACGCCGCGUGAGUGAAGAAGUAUUUCGGUAUGUAAAGCUCUUUUAGCAGGGACGAAAGAAAUGACGGUACCUGAGUAAGAAGCCCCGGCUAACUACGUGCCAGCAGCCGCGGUAAUACGUAGGGGGCAAGCGUUAUCCGGAUUUACUGGGUGUAAAGGGAGCGUAGACGGUAAUGCAAGUCUGGAGUGAAAGGCGAGGGCCCAACCCCCGGCCUGCCGUGGAAACUGUGUAACUGGAGUGCAGGAGAGGCAAGCGGAAGUCGUGGUGUAGCGGUGAAAGGCGUAGAUAUUAGGAGGAACACCAGUGGCGAAGGCGGCAUGCUGGACAGUAACUGACGUUGAGGCGCGAAAGCGUGGGUAGCAAACAGGAUUAGAUACCCGAGUAGUC